GCGCACUCUUGUCUGCUUACGAGGGCUCCUCCCUUCAGCUUUGGUCCCUCGGGGCGUCUGGGCAGCCUACGCUUUCCGGUGAGUUUUCCAGUUGGUUCUUUGGAAGCCGUUUUGCGGUGACUGGUUUUCUGCUCUCUCUCACUGCUCCGAGUCAGGGCCCACCUCCUUGACCGACACCUCACCUCCAUAGUCCACAUAAAAGACUCCUGACAGGUUCUGGAGGCAGCCGACGCCAGCUUCUGUUCCCCUCCCCAGCCCUUGGCAGCUCAGGUUCCGCGGGAGGACGUUCACCUGCUUCGCGGUCUCGUGGAGGUCCACCGCGGCGGAGAAUCCUAAACCUCACCUGUGACUCGGCAGGAUGAGCGGCCAGCACUCCCGACGGAGGCCCUCUGGGAGAAAAGAGGCCCUUGGCCUCGAGACCCAGGAAAGCGGGCUGUUCAGGAGUUGGUUCGCGCAGUUACACCGAAAGCGCCGUGGGCCUCAAAGCCGCAGCCCGGAGGAUAAAAAUGGCAGAAUGAAAGAAUUAUGAGUGGAACUAGAGAAUAGGAAAGACAUGAACCAACGCCCAAAAUGAGAAAGAAGGACAUAUAAAGAAAAAGACAAAUACAAGUGAAAAAAAUAGACUAAUGGAUUAACGUCCCUGUCGUGUGACAUUUUCUGGUAUGACAGCUGAAGAUGUUGAACCGUAUGGUGCAGUUUUGCAAAUAGUGUAUGAAGUGGGUUGUAAGUUUUACCAGUAAUUGUCUAUAGAUACAAAAAGGAGCCAACCUCUUUUUUUUUCUUUUAGUGUGAUGUUCCUUGUUCUAUCUUCGAACUCUCAAAGGUAGCCUUUACACAGAUGUUCAAACUAAUUCUACCAGUGUCAUAUGUCUACCAAUCUCAUUACUUCCCUUGUAUGUACUUCUAGAGCAAAGAGCUCAUUACAGUAAGAAUGAUGGUAAAUUUUACUGAGGCAAACAAAGAUUUCUGAACGCGAGCAGUGUGUGUGAAAUGCUUAUGCACUAGCUGAUAGCAUAACUCUGGUCAAAGAAAUUUGGUCACUUAAAUAUUAUAAUUGAAUUUAGCCCCUAAAGUAGCUGUUCUUAACCUGGAAUCUGAAGAACAGCCUGUUGGUGGGGCUCCCAGGGAAUUUGUGAACCACUGAAAUUAUAUACAUAAUUUCAUGUCUGUGUACCGUGUACAUUUAUUUUUCUUACUUUUUUUUGAGAUGGAGUUUCGCUCUGUUGCCCAGCCUGGAGUGCAGUGGCACCACCUCAGCUCACUGCAAGCUCCGCCUCCUGGGUUCACACCAUUCUCCUGCCUCAGCCUCCCGAGUAGCUGGGACUACAGGUGCCCGCCACCAUGCCCGGCUAAUUUUUUGUGUUUUUAGUAGAGACGGGGUUUCACCAUGUUAGCCAGGAUGGUCUCAAUCUCCUGACCUCGUGAUCCGCCUGCCUUGGCCUCCCAAAGUGCUGGAAUUACAGGUGUGAGCCACCGCGCCCGGCCCUGUUUUU
This 1493-nucleotide long non-coding RNA is filed under the name Homo sapiens (human). Its description in RNAcentral is "HSALNT0405500". The stretch from base 504 to 660 matches the Rfam family "TTC28 antisense RNA 1 conserved region 2". Lineage: Eukaryota; Metazoa; Chordata; Mammalia; Primates; Hominidae. The record is from RNAcentral.